RNAcentral lists this microRNA precursor (101 nucleotides) under Populus trichocarpa (black cottonwood). Its description in RNAcentral is "miR156d stem-loop (ptc-MIR156d)". Its record names the gene ptc-MIR156d. The stretch from base 10 to 94 matches the Rfam family "mir-156 microRNA precursor family". From Rfam's summary of the family: This family represents the plant microRNA (miRNA) precursor mir-156. The record is from miRBase by way of RNAcentral. Lineage: Eukaryota; Viridiplantae; Streptophyta; Magnoliopsida; Malpighiales; Salicaceae.
GUAAGUGAGUUGACAGAAGAGAGUGAGCACACAGGGUACUUUCUUGCAUGACGUUCAUGCUUGAAGCUUUGCGUGCCCACCCUCUAUCUGUCACCCCAUCA